Molecule: ribosomal RNA, 435 nt
Filed under: uncultured bacterium
Lineage: Bacteria
Description: partial 16S ribosomal RNA
Rfam family: Bacterial small subunit ribosomal RNA
Source: RNAcentral
AGCGAACGCUGGCGGCAGGCUUAACACAUGCAAGUCGAGCGGGCACCUUCGGGUGUCAGCGGCAGACGGGUGAGUAACACGUGGGAACGUACCCUUCGGUUCGGAAUAACGCUGGGAAACUAGCGCUAAUACCGGAUACGCCCUUAUGGGGAAAGGUUUACUGCCGAAGGAUCGGCCCGCGUCUGAUUAGCUAGUUGGUGGGGUAACGGCCUACCAAGGCGACGAUCAGUAGCUGGUCUGAGAGGAUGAUCAGCCACACUGGGACUGAGACACGGCCCAGACUCCUACGGGAGGCAGCAGUGGGGAAUAUUGGACAAUGGGCGCAAGCCUGAUCCAGCCAUGCCGCGUGAGUGAUGAAGGCCUUAGGGUUGUAAAACUCUUUUGUCCGGGACGAUAAUGACGGUACCGGAAGAAUAAGCCCCGGCUAACCUCGUG